Molecule: long non-coding RNA, 1953 nt
Organism: Helianthus annuus (common sunflower)
Lineage: Eukaryota; Viridiplantae; Streptophyta; Magnoliopsida; Asterales; Asteraceae
Exons: 4
Source: RefSeq, a predicted model, not a curated record
GCCAUACAUAAACAGAUCAGACCACGUCAUCCCCACGUGUCUCUUCUUUGAGACUUUCUUGCCUCGAUUCACCUGCAUAUCCAAAGAAUAUUGAAAAGGGGAGAGACAUGGAGAUGCCUGAGCGGUUACUACUUCGCCGAUAUCGGUGAACGGCGUCUUUUACUCCUGAUUCCAAGUCAUCCGGUAUCUCGUAGCUCAUCUCCAUUGUAGAUCGUCUUCAUAGAAACUUUCGCCGAUCGACUCUAAUGUAUGUUGAUUUUGAUAGAUUCGCCUUUAGGGUGUUGCUGCGCAACCAAAACCGACGCCAAUCAGGUGUAAUCAUAUCGGUUUCUAUCAAUAAUAGGUUUACCAGAUUGUAUCUGACUUAAUUUGAUUUGUGAUUGUUUUGGUAGAUUAGACGGUGGAUGAACGGGUUGGAUUCCGGUAAGAUAAUACUGUGUCGUCGUUGUGUAAUUUGACCCAAAUCUGGGUGUUUCCGAUUAAUGGCAAUGUGAUAUCAUUUGUUUUGGGAAAGUUAGGGGAUAAUAAGUGACGGUGUGUUUGUGGAGGAUUCGAUGUUGUGUUGAACGGUGUACCAUGUUCAUAAUUCGGGGAUGUCUCUACUCAGCAAGAUAUAGAUGUGCCAUUUUGGGGGAAAAUUAGAUGGAUGUAGAUAUUGACGACUAUGAAAAUAAACAAGCCGAGUGGUCCAUUUCUAUAGGCAUUAUACUGUUGGUAACCUUUUUUAGGAGCGCCACAAAGGGCCAUGGAUGAAUACCAGGCACAAAUCGCAACUUUGGUGAAAGAAGACGAGUAUUCGAAGAUUAGCUGUCGACUUUUACAUAUAUUUCAUAUAGUUUAUAAACUUCAUAUAAAAUCAUAUUUUUAUUGACCGAUGGGGGUAAUUUUUUUUUUUUGUUAUAAAUGAUAUGAGUCUACUUCAUUUAAGUUUUAAACGUAAAUAAAGAAUAUAAAUUUUAUUAUGGUCAAAGUUGUGUUAUACAAUAUGCUAUAUUUGUUGGAUGAAAUGUGGCAGGGAUGAUAUCGGUAUGGUAUUGAUGUCGAACCUCAAAAAAUCAUUUUGGGAUACCAUUGUUAGUCACAACACUUUCUUUAAAACACUCAAGAUAAAUGUUAUAAGACUAAGAUUCUUUUCUAUGGUUCCGCAGAUUCGUACUUCUUUUUAUAAAAGGGAGGACGAGGAACCAAUUGACGAAAAAAAUUAGUUUGAAGAAUUAUGGAAGCCCAGGUGUGUUAGAGCUUGGCAUGAGUCUCAGAGGAUAAACAUGAGAAAGGUAAACCGAUCAAAAGAUUUGGAGUUGCUGAUUCUGUUUAAAGAAGUGAUGAAAAUGGAUCUUUUAUCACACUUAUUGUGUCCAAUUAAAGAACUGGAAAUUGAUCAUCACAGAUAACAAACAUUUCAAAACACACUUAUUAUGCAUUACCUGCGGAUGAUUAAACUCCCCCAUCCAAGAAAGACAAGAACCAUGGCAGCAGCUAGAACAUCAAACACCCAUUUAUCAACAAGAACCAGGAACCAACAUUUUUCUAACAACUGAUGUAUUGUGAAUGCAAAUAUAACCAGGAACCAACAUUUUUCUAACAACUGAUGUAUUGUGAAUGCAAAUAUAAAACCCCCAUCCCGCUGCCAAGACAAAAAUACCAAACGCUGGUGCAACACACGAUAAGCAGAUCUCCGUGUCCAAGGUUUUGGAAGAUAUAAAAGUUUUGGCAUUUAUGUGCGUCAAAAGCCAAUCAAAGGCUACUGCUCUCUUUGGGAUAUUUGGUGUAGGUUUAGCUUGGAAUGUCUAAAGUGAUAGGGUGCGAUGUAUUUGUUGUUUUCAGGUUUUGUGGUUGUUGGCUUCUCAAGUUUUGAUGCUACUGUGGUAGUUUUCUUUUUUGGUGGAUGUAAUAGUUAGCUUCCUACUAACUCUUUUGGUUUUGUAAUAAAAAAUUUCGUCGGUUUUAGUUCAA